UAUACCGUGAAACUGCGAAUGGCUCAUUAAAUCAGUUAUCGUUUAUUUGAUAGUACCUUACUACUUGGAUAACCGUGGUAAUUCUAGAGCUAAUACAUGCUUAAAACCCCAACUUCGGGAGGGGUGUAUUUAUUAGAUAAAAAACCAACGCCCUUCGGGGCUUCUUGGUGAUUCAUGAUAACUUUACGGAUCGCAUGGCCUUGCGCUGGCGACGGUUCAUUCAAAUUUCUGCCCUAUCAACUUUCGAUGGUAAGGUAUUGGCUUACCAUGGUUUCAACGGGUAACGGGGAAUUAGGGUUCGAUUCCGGAGAGGGAGCCUGAGAAACGGCUACCACAUCCAAGGAAGGCAGCAGGCGCGCAAAUUACCCAAUCCCGACACGGGGAGGUAGUGACAAUAAAUACUGAUACAGGGCUCUUUUGGGUCUUGUAAUUGGAAUGAGUACAAUUUAAACCUCUUAACGAGGAACAAUUGGAGGGCAAGUCUGGUGCCAGCAGCCGCGGUAAUUCCAGCUCCAAUAGCGUAUAUUAAAGUUGUUGCAGUUAAAAAGCUCGUAGUUGAAACUUGGGUCUGGCUGGCGGGUCCGCCUCACCGCGUGUACUUGUCCGGCCGGGCCUUCCUUCUGGAGAACCUCAUGCCCUUUACUGGGCGUGUUGGGGACCAGGACUUUUACUUUGAAAAAAUUAGAGUGUUCAAAGCAGGCCUUUGCUCGAAUACGUUAGCAUGGAAUAAUAGAAUAGGACGUGCGGUCCUAUUUUGUUGGUUUCUAGGACCGCCGUAAUGAUUAAUAGGGACAGUCGGGGGCAUCAGUAUUCAAUUGUCAGAGGUGAAAUUCUUGGAUUUAUUGAAGACUAACUACUGCGAAAGCAUUUGCCAAGGAUGUUUUCAUUAAUCAGUGAACGAAAGUUAGGGGAUCGAAGACGAUCAGAUACCGUCGUAGUCUUAACCGUAAACUAUGCCGACUAGGGAUCGGGCGAUGUUCUUUUUCUGACUCGCUCGGCACCUUACGAGAAAUCAAAGUU
RNAcentral lists this ribosomal RNA (1020 nucleotides) under Leptosphaeria slovacica. RNAcentral describes it as "SSU rRNA". It matches the Rfam family "Eukaryotic small subunit ribosomal RNA", at positions 75 to 1105 of the family's 1831-position model. The record is from RNAcentral. Lineage: Eukaryota; Fungi; Ascomycota; Dothideomycetes; Pleosporales; Leptosphaeriaceae.